RNAcentral lists this ribosomal RNA (406 nucleotides) under uncultured bacterium. RNAcentral describes it as "bacterial SSU rRNA". It matches the Rfam family "Bacterial small subunit ribosomal RNA", at positions 355 to 776 of the family's 1533-position model. The record is from RNAcentral.
UCAAGAAUCUUCCUCAAUGGCCGAAAGGCUGAAGGAGCGACGCCGCGUGUAUGAAGAAGCCCUUCGGGGUGUAAAGUACUUUUAACCGGGAAGAAACAAUGACGGUACCGGUUGAAUAAGGGGCUGCUAACCUCGUGCCAGCAGCAGCGGUAAUACGAGGGCCCCAAGCGUUAUCCGGAUUUAUUGGGCGUAAAGAGUACGUAGGCGGUUUAUCGCAUCUUUUGUUAAAUCAUGGAGCUCAACUCCGUGGCCGCGAAAGACAUGGAUAAACUAGAGGUCGGGAGAGGCAAAUGGAAUUGCUGGUGUAGGGGUUAAAUCCGUUAAUAUCAGCAGGAACACCAAAUGCGAAAGCAGUUUGCUGGAACGAUUCUGACGCUGAGGUACGAAAGCGUGGGUAGCGAAUGGG